GACGAACGCUGGCGGCGUGCUUAACACAUGCCAGUCGAACGGAAAGGCCCUGCUUGCAGGGUACUCGAGUGGCGAACGGGUGAGUAACACGUGGGUGAUCUGCCCUGCACUUCGGGAUAAGCCUGGGAAACUGGGUCUAAUAUCGGAUAGGAGCCAUUUUUAGUGUGAUGGUUGGAAAGUUUUUUCGGUGUAGGAUGAGCUCGCGGCCUAUCAGCUUGUUGGUGGGGUAAUGGCCUACCAAGGCGGCGACGGGUAGCCGGCCUGAGAGGGUGGACGGCCACAUUGGGACUGAGAUACGGCCCAGACUCCUACGGGAGGCAGCAGUGGGGAAUAGUGCACAAUAGGCGCAAGCCUGAUGCAGCGACGCCGCGUGGGGGAUGACGGCCUUCGGGUUGUAAACUCCUUUCGCUAGGGACGAAGCUUUUUGUGACGGUACCUAGAUAAGAAGCACCGGCUAACUACGUG
This 465-nucleotide ribosomal RNA is filed under the name uncultured bacterium. RNAcentral describes it as "partial 16S ribosomal RNA". It matches the Rfam family "Bacterial small subunit ribosomal RNA", at positions 28 to 507 of the family's 1533-position model. The record is from RNAcentral.